RNAcentral lists this ribosomal RNA (119 nucleotides) under Beta vulgaris subsp. vulgaris (sugar beet). The record is from RNAcentral. Lineage: Eukaryota; Viridiplantae; Streptophyta; Magnoliopsida; Caryophyllales; Amaranthaceae.
GGGUGCAAUCAUACCAGUACUAAUGCGCCGGAUGCCAUCAAAAUUCCGCGGUUAAGCGUGUUUGGGCGAGAGUAGUACUAAGAUGAGUGACCUUUUGGGAAGUCCUUGUAUUACACCCC